Molecule: long non-coding RNA, 1444 nt
Organism: Brassica rapa (field mustard)
Lineage: Eukaryota; Viridiplantae; Streptophyta; Magnoliopsida; Brassicales; Brassicaceae
Source: RefSeq, a predicted model, not a curated record
UCCAACCGGGUCAACCUGUUUUAUUGAUUCCGGGUCCUUAACCGUUGGAUUUGGAUUCUGAAACCUUCUGUCUAUAAUAGAAGUUUCCGGGGCAUAGAUUUUUUCCCCUGAAAGGACCUUCACCCAUAAGUUGAAGGCAUAGAAUAAAGAGAAUGAAUCUCCCAUGAUGUUGGCCCAGCUCAUGCCCAAAGCUAAUCCUCUGCACUUAAACCGGGUCAUCUGCGGAUACAAACCGAGAUAAGGUCCAAAGACUAAUCACUAAGAGGUUCGUAAAAAUUCAGGUUUUCUUGCCACUUAACACGUCCAUGAAUUACCAAAGAAAAUUGAACCCUGGGUAGAAGCUCUUGCUGGAAUCCUUUUACCACUAUGCCAAGACCACUUGGUUCAAAUUUGGUAUUUAACCAAACCGCAUCUUUAUCUAUUCACACUCUGUAACCCCAUGGGGGAAUCUCACUCUUUUCUAUUUAUUCCUAAAUGUAUGUAAUAAAAUCACUUGCUUUGCCUUUGAUUCGUGGUCUAUUUGGCAAACCAUUUGCAAAAGCAUUAUACUCUUUAUUAUUUAAUCAACAGUUUUUUUUUAAGAAAGGUUAUUUACAUAACUAUCAAUGAUUGCAAAAAUCUAAUCAGACCUAUCAAUUACAUAGUGUGUUGAAACCAGUGCCGGUCCGGACUUUUCCGGCUCCUAAAGCGGACUAUAAAAAUGUUGCUCUUUUAUCCUAACUAAAUUUACCAUAUGAUAAUUAUAAAAUUAUAAUCAGUAAAUAUUACUCCUUAGAACUUAGGUUAUUUUAAAAAAAAACCAAUAAAUACAAAAAACAUCAAAACAUUAUUUGCAGCUCAUCUUCUUUGUUUUCAUUUUCUAUUUUCAGUUCACUUGGUUGAUUUCUACGUCUAUUUUUAGUAGCAUUUUCUACAAAUCUAAGAAAACAAAAAGAACAAAAAGUAUAAUAUAUAGAUAGAGCAAAACAUAUACUAGUAACAUAUGCUAACAUCAACUCUACAAUUUUUAUGUUUUCACAAAGUUUCAGAAAAUGUUAAACCCCUAUGAUAGAUUUUAGUUUUGUGAAUUUAAAAAGUCCCUAACAAAAUUACAAAAACUGGAAAAGGGCUUACAUGAAAUUCCUAUAGAGCUAUUCUGACAAAGAUCAGUUACUAUGAAAAGUGGAACAUGAGCAAUUGGUAGUUAAAUUUUUUUUAUAAUAUCCCUUAUCCAUACAUAUUCUACCAAACCGAAAGAAUGAAAAAAAAAUGGAGAAAGUAAGUACUAAAUUUUAAUAAAAUAAAAGAAAUCAAAUCAUUUGUAUAUACAUAAUAAAAGAAACUAGGGUUGUUGGAGCAUGAACCCAAAUCAUCCGUAUAUCUUUAUAAGUUGUUAUUUUUGAAAAAAAAAAAAAAAAUUAUUAUUAUCAAAAAGAAGGGAGGUGAGAAUCGAACUUAUUACCCG